Molecule: small RNA, 519 nt
Filed under: Drosophila yakuba
Lineage: Eukaryota; Metazoa; Arthropoda; Insecta; Diptera; Drosophilidae
Description: GE27783
Source: RNAcentral
UAACCAAGCGAGUGGGUUGAGCUCAUUCUCGUUUCGGUUCUCUAACAGCAAACAUCUAUUUGGAAGACUACCAAAUUUCUGGGACUGAAAAUCCUACUUCCGUAAUCAGGCUAAUAGAAUAAAAUGUGCAAUCCAGGAAUGUGUUCAAUGCCCGGCACUUGCUGUGGACCGACUGGCGGACUGGGACCAUGUUUGCUCUGCGGACCCUAUAAUGGCCAGUGGUUCCGCUCGAUCAAUCACUGCUGUGGUCCUUGUGGACCAUAUGGAUGCUGCUCGUGCUACGGGCCCCAUGGAGGACAUUGUUAGCCUGCUUAGAAGGAAUGUAGGGUUUCUUUAUCCGUGAUCUGGAACAAGAGCUUGAGGGAGUACAACCACGAAGAGGCAUUCUACAGAGAUGUCAAGCGAGGUGGAUCCGAAAAUUUGUGUUUAAUGAAAUAUGGUUGGGAUAUUGUCUAUGGACUCCCAAGAUUAUUCCAUCAGCAAUAGAUGUUAAUAAAUUAUUCGUAUAUUUCAAAAGUG